RNAcentral lists this ribosomal RNA (422 nucleotides) under uncultured Bacteroidales bacterium. RNAcentral's name for it is "partial 16S ribosomal RNA". It matches the Rfam family "Bacterial small subunit ribosomal RNA", at positions 355 to 774 of the family's 1533-position model. The record is from RNAcentral. Lineage: Bacteria; Pseudomonadati; Bacteroidota; Bacteroidia; Bacteroidales.
UGAGGAAUAUUGGUCAAUGGACGCAAGUCUGAACCAGCCAUGCCGCGUGCAGGAAGACGGCUCUAUGAGUUGUAAACUGCUUUUGUACGAGAGUAAACCUAUCUACGAGUAGAUAGCUGAAAGUAUCGUACGAAUAAGGAUCGGCUAACUCCGUGCCAGCAGCCGCGGUAAUACGGAGGAUCCGAGCGUUAUCCGGAUUUAUUGGGUUUAAAGGGUGCGUAGGCGGUUGAUUAAGUUAGUCGUUAAAUCGGAAGGCUCAACCUUCUCAAGGCGAUUGAUACUGGUCAGCUAGAGAUUAGAUGCAGAGGGCGGAAUGUGUAGUGUAGCGGUGAAAUGCUUAGAUAUUACACAGAACACCGAUUGCGAAGGCAGCUCUCUAAUCUACAUCUGACGCUGAGGCACGAAAGCGUGGGGAUCAAACA